RNAcentral lists this ribosomal RNA (497 nucleotides) under uncultured bacterium. RNAcentral describes it as "partial 16S ribosomal RNA". It matches the Rfam family "Bacterial small subunit ribosomal RNA", at positions 28 to 507 of the family's 1533-position model. The record is from RNAcentral.
GAUGAACGCUGGCGGCGUGCCUAAUACAUGCAAGUCGAGCGAACAGACGAGGAGCUUGCUCCUCUGACGUUAGCGGCGGACGGGUGUGUAACACGUGGAUAACCUACCUAUAAGACUGGGAAAACUUCGGGAAACCGGAGCUAAUACCGGAUAAUAUAUUGAACCGCAUGGUUCAAUAGUGAAAGACGGUUUUGCUGUCACUUAUAGAUGGUUCCGGGCCGCAUUAGCUAGUUGGUAAGGUAACGGCUUACCAAGGCAACGAUGCGUAGCCGACCGGAGAGGGGGGUCGGCCGCACUGGAACUCGACCACGGACCAGGGUCCUACGGGAGGGAGCAGAAGGGAACGGGACGCAAUGGGCGGAAGCCUGACGCAACAGCGGCACGUGAGUGAUGACAGUCUUCGGAUCGUAAAACUGUGUUAUGAGGGAUGAACAAAUGUGUACGUAACUAUGCACGGCUUGACGGUACCUAAUCAGAAAGCCACGGCUAACUACGUG